This is a long non-coding RNA of Pan troglodytes (chimpanzee), 2273 nucleotides long. RefSeq lists it as uncharacterized. The record is from RefSeq and is a predicted model, not a curated record. The transcript has 7 exons. Lineage: Eukaryota; Metazoa; Chordata; Mammalia; Primates; Hominidae.
GGGUCUUGCUCUGUCAUCCAGGCUGGAGUGCAGUGGCGAGAUCCUAGCUUAUUGCAGCCAGCCUCCAACUCCCGGGCUUAAGUGAUCCUCCUGCCUCAGCCUCCCAUGUAGCUUUUAUUUGGUAAAAGCCAGAUCACCAUUCUCCUCAAGAAACAAGAGGCUACAAUCUAAAAAACUAUUGAUAUCGCACCUAACAGGAAGCCAGAGUAGGUCCUCUGAAGGUGUUUGUUCAAUGAACUUGUCAUCCUCCUCAACUUAAAGCCUUUAGCUUUUCCAAUUUGGAGGCACAAAUAAGUGAGAACUUGGGGAUCCACUGAGGUCUGAGGCACGGUGGUACCAGAGGAGAUGAAGGGGCUUUCAGCAUGAAGCUGGUCCCCUGUCGACAGCACGCUGAUUUUCCCGUUGGGCUCUAUCAGCAUGUCCACUGUCAGGCUUGCCUCCACUUUUUCCAGUGCCCACAUUUACCUCUCAGAGUGCAUCAACAAUCGUCAGGACAUUGGAAGGUUCCAAGACAUCUGCAGAAAGCAUGGGGCUCCACCAGCCUGGCCGAUACACCCCAGAGAUUCUUGUCUACCAAAUGCUUUCUGACAUCCCUACAUGAAGGACUGGAGAGUGAAAAGGGCAAGACAAUGACCUGAAAAAGUAAGCAAGACUGUCAGUGUUGAAAGGAGCCAUGUGGACUAUCUAGGACAAAUGCCUCGUGUCACAGAAGAGGGAACGAGGGCUUCUCCAGUCACACUGGGAGGCCGCAGGUGCUCUCUGGCUGCCUCUGACUCCUGGACCAUGCUUGUGAAAAUACCAGGACGGUAAAUUAGUGAAUUCCAAAGUCAGGAUUUUUGUUGGAUCUGGCACAGUCACAGGAAAGUCUGAGUUUUCUCAAGGGCAUCCCUGUCUCACCGAGGGGCACCAAGGACAGACGACCAGAAGCAAAUGGCGCAGUCACCGUCAGAGGAGAGUAAAACUCAUUCUGAAACGGUUCCAAAUGCCCAUGCCUGCUCUGUGGUUUUCAGCAAAGCGGACCUUUCCAAAAGACCUCCAACGGGGACUUCCUGGAUGUGAGAACACUAACCAAUUCUCGUUCCUCUCAUCUUUUGCUUUAUUCCUUCCUUCCACGCUGUUAUUGCGAAAAACUGGCAGUUAAAUUCAAUUGAUUCAAAAUAUUCGGGAUCCAUAUGGCCGCCAACCCUGGAGCUGAAGCGGCGAUAGCGCCUCACUGCUGUUUUCAAGCAUUUGCCUCUCCUCCAGUCCCCAGAUGGUGGGAGUAACAUUUAAACCUCCUUUUCUCUGCCUUGUACAAUAGACCUUGGCACCAUUUCAACUGUUUACUCCGGUAAUUAACAGCUCUGAUACCACAACAAUUACAACUCCUACACUCUCACCACAAUAAUGCUAUGAAUUAGUGAGAGCUAAUGGCUGGAAGGUAGAGUGUUUCCAGACUGUGGGAUCUGUGCAUUUUUAGAAUAAAAUAAAAGGUACAAACAGCACGCUUGCAGUAGACAAUGAUUACCUAGUAAUUAGUUUACACAAAGCUUCCUAUUUAAUGGCAAAACGCUGUAAUUAACGUGUGACAGAAAAUCAAAGGGUACUUUGUAAGCAUAUUAAAAAUUAACACUGCAGGCCCAUAGCUUUAUGUACUGAUUAGAAGCAUAUUAAAUCAAUAGGACACACAAACCAACAGCUUGUGUAGCUGAUUAUUAUAGGUCCUCAGAAGGGGUACCCUGGCUUUCAUUUCACUUGGGGAGGCAAUUUUCCUUCUCCUGUCAUCUUCCUCAGGCACAGAGAAACACCUCAAACUCAACCCUGGCAGCUUCAUGAAAAUAACCACUGAACUGGAAGAAAACAUUCUAAGUCAUUCUCAGAGAUGAAGACAAAUAUGUAAAUGAUUAAGACUUUCCAAUGAUUGUGGUGACGUGCUGCUACACUAAUUAGAAAAUACACCAACUGGAACCAGAAAAUAAAGCCACUGGGUUGCAAUCUUCCGGUCAGAAUAAUCUCUACUUUGUCAAGCCUCUUUAUUCAACUCAUAGAAAGUUCAAAUAAAUGGAACUGUUUUAUAUUUCUAAAUGAUAAGAAAGCAGGCUGCUAUGAAGACUUAUUCUUUCCAAGGCACUGUCUGGGUAAAGCAUAGGCUGGGAACAACUGGAUCAACCAACAUUCUGUAUCUUCAACAGCCACAACCCCAUAUAAUGAUGGCUGAUGGACAUAGACAGCAAUAUCCUGGAAGCCUACCAGAGCCUAAAGAACCUUCUGAAUCACCAAAGAAAGAUUAAGUU